UCAUGGUGGAAGAUGAAGCAAACACAUCCUUUUUCACAUGUUGGCAGCAAGGAGAAGAAGGAGAAGUACGAGUGGAGUAAGGAAAAAAUCCCAUAUAAAACCAUCGGAUCUCUUGAGAACUCAGUCUCUAUCAUGAGAACAGCAUGGAGGUAACUGCCCUCAUGAUUCAAUUACUUCCCACUAGGUCCCUUCCAUGACACAUGGGGAUUAUGGGAACUAUGAUUCAAGAUGAGAUUCUACCAGAGGUACAAAGAGGAGCUAGUACCAUUCCUUCCGAAAAUAUUACAAACAACUGAAAAAGAGGGACCCCUCCCUAACACCAAAACCUAGCAGAGACACAACAAAGAAACAUAACUU
RNAcentral lists this long non-coding RNA (357 nucleotides) under Pan troglodytes (chimpanzee). RNAcentral describes it as "long non-coding RNA NONPTRT015250". Lineage: Eukaryota; Metazoa; Chordata; Mammalia; Primates; Hominidae. The record is from RNAcentral.